UAGGGAAUCUUCGGCAAUGGACGGAAGUCUGACCGAGCAACGCCGCGUGAGUGAAGAAGGUUUUCGGAUCGUAAAGCUCUGUUGUAAGAGAAGAACGAGUGUGAGAGUGGAAAGUUCACACUGUGACGGUAUCUUACCAGAAAGGGACGGCUAACUACGUGCCAGCAGCCGCGGUAAUACGUAGGUCCCGAGCGUUGUCCGGAUUUAUUGGGCGUAAAGCGAGCGCAGGCGGUUAGAUAAGUCUGAAGUUAAAGGCUGUGGCUUAACCAUAGUACGCUUUGGAAACUGUUUAACUUGAGUGCAAGAGGGGAGAGUGGAAUUCCAUGUGUAGCGGUGAAAUGCGUAGAUAUAUGGAGGAACACCGGUGGCGAAAGCGGCUCUCUGGCUUGUAACUGACGCUGAGGCUCGAAAGCGUGGGGAGCAAACAGGAUUAGAUACCCUGGUAGUCCACGCCGUAAACGAUGAGUGCUAGGUGUUAGACCCUUUCCGGGGUUUAGUGCCGCAGCUAACGCAUUAGGCACUCCGCCUGGGGAGUACGACCGCNGNUU
Molecule: ribosomal RNA, 548 nt
Filed under: uncultured bacterium
Lineage: Bacteria
Description: bacterial SSU rRNA
Rfam family: Bacterial small subunit ribosomal RNA
Source: RNAcentral